GUGUAUGGUCAUGCCACCCUGAAUGUGCCCUAUCUAAUCUGAUCUUGGAAGCUAAGCAGGGUCGGGCGUGGUUAGUACUUGGAUGGGAGAAAUAAGAAUAAUAUGCCACUUUCCCUA
RNAcentral lists this ribosomal RNA (117 nucleotides) under Propithecus coquereli (Coquerel's sifaka). Lineage: Eukaryota; Metazoa; Chordata; Mammalia; Primates; Indriidae. The record is from RNAcentral.